Molecule: ribosomal RNA, 223 nt
Filed under: uncultured bacterium
Lineage: Bacteria
Description: partial 16S ribosomal RNA
Rfam family: Bacterial small subunit ribosomal RNA
Source: RNAcentral
UACGUAGGUGGCAAGCGUUGUCCGGAUUUACUGGGCGUAAAGCGAACGCAGGCGGACCUUUAAGUAGGAAGUGAAAGGUUGGAGCUCAACUCUAACACUGCUCCCUAUACUGGAGGUCUUGAGUGCCGGAGAGGAAGACGGAACAAGUUGUGUAGCGGUGAAAUGCGUUGAUAUAACUUGGAACACCAAUGGCGAAAGCAGUCUUCUGGCGGAUACUGACGCU